UGCAUUCACUACUAUAAGUCGCUCUGGAUAAGAGCGUCUGCUAAAUGACAAAAA
Salmo salar (Atlantic salmon) is the source of this 54-nucleotide non-coding RNA. Lineage: Eukaryota; Metazoa; Chordata; Actinopteri; Salmoniformes; Salmonidae. The record is from Rfam.